Molecule: microRNA precursor, 124 nt
Filed under: Hordeum vulgare
Lineage: Eukaryota; Viridiplantae; Streptophyta; Magnoliopsida; Poales; Poaceae
Description: microRNA MIR1122
Rfam family: MIR1120/MIR1122 microRNA precursor family
Source: RNAcentral
UUAGUACUCCCUCCGUCCGGAAAUACUUGUCCUAGAGAUGAAUGUAUCUAGACUUAUUUUAGUUAUAGAUACAUCCAUUAUAUCCAUUUCUAGGACAAGUAUUUCCGGACGGAGGAAGUACUUC